RNAcentral lists this transfer RNA (75 nucleotides) under compost metagenome. RNAcentral describes it as "tRNA-Glu". It matches the Rfam family "tRNA". From Rfam's summary of the family: Transfer RNA (tRNA) molecules are approximately 80 nucleotides in length. The record is from RNAcentral.
GCUUCGUUCGACUAGCGGCUAGGUCGUUGCCCUUUCAAGGCAGAGAGGCGGGUUCGAUUCCCGCACGGAGCGCCA